RNAcentral lists this ribosomal RNA (274 nucleotides) under uncultured bacterium. RNAcentral's name for it is "partial 16S ribosomal RNA". It matches the Rfam family "Bacterial small subunit ribosomal RNA", at positions 523 to 796 of the family's 1533-position model. The record is from RNAcentral.
AUACGAAGGGUGCUAGCGUUGUGCGGAAUUACUGGGCGUAAAGAGCAUGUAGGCGGAUAGAUUAGUCAGAGGUGAAAGCCCCGAGCUCAACUCGGGAACUGCCUUUGAUACUGUUUAUCUAGAGACCGAGAGAGGUGAGUGGAAUUCUCAGUGUAGAGGUGAAAUUCGUAGAUAUUGGGAAGAACACCAGUGGCGAAGGCGGCUCACUGGCUCGGAACUGACGCUGAGAUGCGAAAGCGUGGGGAGCGAACAGGAUUAGAAACCCUAGUAGUCC